CAGCCGCCGCGGGAAUACGGAGGGGGCUAGCGUUGUUCGGAAUUACUGGGCGUAAAGCGCACGUAGGCGGCUUUUUAAGUCAGAGGUGAAAGCCCGGGGCUCAACUCCGGAACCGCCUUUGAGACUGGGAGGCUUGAACGUCGGAGAGGUGAGUGGAAUUCCGAGUGUAGAGGUGAAAUUCGUAGAUAUUCGGAAGAACACCAGUGGCGAAGGCGGCUCACUGGACGACUGUUGACGCUGAGGUGCGAAAGCGUGGGGAGCAAACAGGAUUAGAUACCCCCGUAGUCCCUGUCUCUUAUAC
This 301-nucleotide ribosomal RNA is filed under the name uncultured bacterium. Its description in RNAcentral is "partial 16S ribosomal RNA". It matches the Rfam family "Bacterial small subunit ribosomal RNA", at positions 509 to 807 of the family's 1533-position model. The record is from RNAcentral.